GGGGAGUUGUCGGACAAUCACUCUUCGAGAGAAAAAUUUUUUGACCUAUUGAAAGAUAGCUUUUCUUGGAAUUCUUUAUGAUGAACUUUUUCAGCACAGUAUCAAUGUACAUCGACUGGGACAAUCCAACUGUUGGUGCAGAAUUCCACCGACGUUGGAGAAGCUAGAGUCGAGGAGAUCAUGUCCGCCGUCGGGACCUGCAAGGAAAGUCUAAACCAGAGUUAGGG
This 227-nucleotide long non-coding RNA is filed under the name Elaeis guineensis (African oil palm). RNAcentral describes it as "long non-coding RNA (EGUI_LNC064465)". The record is from RNAcentral. Lineage: Eukaryota; Viridiplantae; Streptophyta; Magnoliopsida; Arecales; Arecaceae.